UCCUUCCUUGUCUUGGGGAGCUGAGUAGUCGGUGAUCUUUUAGUGAGGCUGCUCAUGCUGACACCAAUGAUAAAUUGCCCGCACCCGCGUAUACGCGAGUGCAAUUUUUGGAAAU
Molecule: small nuclear RNA, 115 nt
Organism: Aethina tumida (small hive beetle)
Lineage: Eukaryota; Metazoa; Arthropoda; Insecta; Coleoptera; Nitidulidae
Product: U4atac minor spliceosomal RNA
Exons: 1
Source: RefSeq, a predicted model, not a curated record